UACAGAGGUCCCAAGCGUUGUUCGGAUUCACUGGGCGUAAAGGGUGCGUAGGUGGUGAGGUAAGUCUGAUGUGAAAUCCCGCAGCUCAACUGCGGAACUGCAUCGGAUACUAUCUUGCUAGAGGGUUUGAGGGGGGACUGGAAUUCUCGGUGUAGCAGUGAAAUGCGUAGAUAUCGAGAGGAACACCAGUGGCGAAGGCGAGUCCCUGGACAACUUCUGACGCUGAGGCACGAAAGCUAGGGGAGCAAACAGG
RNAcentral lists this ribosomal RNA (253 nucleotides) under uncultured bacterium. RNAcentral describes it as "partial 16S ribosomal RNA". It matches the Rfam family "Bacterial small subunit ribosomal RNA", at positions 524 to 776 of the family's 1533-position model. The record is from RNAcentral.